GAUUGGAAGCUAGAAUUAAACAAUAUUGACAAGUAAUCCUUCUUUUGGCUUCAUUUGAUAGGAUUGGGGACUUUUUCGAGAGCAUGAGGCGAACAUGUAGAAGGGUGAGUUGACCAAUUUUGACGCUUUGAUUUUUUUUUUGAUAAGAAACCAAAAUUGGUCAAGUAUAUCUAUAAUGAGGUCUUUUAAGCUGGAUUUGGUCAGUUGCUGUGAAAUUUGUAGAUUUUUGGUCGAGAUACGUACAGUUUGAUCCUGAUUGGUUGGAUAGGUUAAGAACUGGGAGGUGGUAGGAUAAAUUUAGACUGGAUUGGGAUUUAACCUUGUUUUAAACAAUUAAACUAUUAUAUGAGAUAAUCAUUUGAGCAAUGGAACUUAUCAAGGGCAGGUCCGGGAGUGUCUGUCUGUAAGAGACAAGAUGCAUGCGACAUUAUAAAUGCUAGAAACUAAAUUUUGUACAGCAGAUGAUGCCUUCCUGAUAAUAGAAGUGAUUUCAAUGUUGCUCCGAUG
Molecule: long non-coding RNA, 507 nt
Filed under: Elaeis guineensis (African oil palm)
Lineage: Eukaryota; Viridiplantae; Streptophyta; Magnoliopsida; Arecales; Arecaceae
Description: long non-coding RNA (EGUI_LNC041274)
Source: RNAcentral